Molecule: ribosomal RNA, 959 nt
Filed under: uncultured bacterium
Lineage: Bacteria
Also listed under: 1 other name
Description: bacterial SSU rRNA
Rfam family: Archaeal small subunit ribosomal RNA
Source: RNAcentral
UAACACCGGCGGCCCGAGUGGUGAUCGUGAUUAUUGGGUCUAAAGGGUCCGUAGCCGGUUUGGUCAGUCCUCCGGGAAAUCUGACGGCUCAACCGUUAGGCUUUCGGUGGAUACUGCCAGACUUGGAACCGGGAGAGGUAAGAGGUACUACAGGGGUAGGAGUGAAAUCUUGUAAUCCCUGUGAGACCACCUGUGGCGAAGGCGUCUUACCAGAACGGGUUCGACGGUGAGGGACGAAAGCUGGGGGCACGAACCGGAUUAGAUACCCGGGUAGUCCCAGCCGUAAACGAUGCUCGCUAGGUGUCAGGCAUGGCGCGACCGUGUCUGGUGCCGCAGGGAAGCCGUGAAGCGAGCCACCUGGGAAGUACGGCCGCAAGGCUGAAACUUAAAGGAAUUGGCGGGGGAGCACAACAACGGGUGGAGCCUGCGGUUUAAUUGGACUCAACGCCGGACAACUCACCGGGGACGACAGCAAUAUGUAGGCCAGGCUAAAGACCUUGCCUGAAUCGCUGAGAGGAGGUGCAUGGCCGUCGCCAGUUCGUACUGUGAAGCAUCCUGUUAAGUCAGGCAACGAGCGAGACCCGUGCCCACUGUUACCAGCAUGUCCUCCGGGACGAUGGGUACUCUGUGGGGACCGCCGAUGUUAAAUCGGAGGAAGGUGCGGGCUACGGUAGGUCAGUAUGCCCCGAAUUUCCCGGGCUACACGCGGGCUACAAUGAAUGGGACAAUGGGUCCCUACCCCGAGAGGGGUUGGUAAUCUCCCAAACCCAUCCGUAGUUCGGAUCGAGGGCUGUAACUCGCCCUCGUGAAGCUGGAAUCCGUAGUAAUCGCGUUUCAAUAUAGCGCGGUGAAUACGUCCCUGCUCCUUGCACACACCGCCCGUCAAACCACCCGAGUGAGGUAUGGGUGAGGGCACGAACUUCGUGUCGUGUUCGAACCUGUGCUUUGCAAGGGGGGUU